AUUGAACGCUGGCGGCAUGCCUUACACAUGCAAGUCGAACGGCAGCACGGGGGCAACCCUGGUGGCGAGUGGCGAACGGGUGAGUAACAUAUCGGAACAUACCCUAGAGUGGGGGAUAACGUAGCGAAAGUUACGCUAAUACCGCAUACGAUCUAAGGAUGAAAGUGGGGGAUCUUCGGACCUCAUGCUCAUGGAGUGGCCGAUAUCUGAUUAGCUAGUUGGUGAGGUAAAGGCUCACCAAGGCGACGAUCAGUAGCUGGUUUGAGAGAACGACCAGCCACACUGGAACUGAGGCACGGUCCAGACUCCUACGGGAGGCAGCAGUGGGGAAUUUUGGACAAUGGGGGCAACCCUGAUCCAGCAAUGCCGCGUGAGUGAAGAAGGCCU
RNAcentral lists this ribosomal RNA (387 nucleotides) under uncultured bacterium. Its description in RNAcentral is "bacterial SSU rRNA". It matches the Rfam family "Bacterial small subunit ribosomal RNA", at positions 30 to 417 of the family's 1533-position model. The record is from RNAcentral.